Pristis pectinata (smalltooth sawfish) is the source of this 1883-nucleotide long non-coding RNA. RefSeq lists it as uncharacterized. The transcript is spliced from 3 exons. The record is from RefSeq and is a predicted model, not a curated record. NCBI's taxonomy places the organism in Eukaryota, Metazoa, Chordata, Chondrichthyes, Rhinopristiformes, Pristidae.
CCGGGGAGACGGUGCAGCCUGGGACCCGGCGGGAGUGGACGCGCUGCCCGGUCCGCCCUCCGGCCCGGAGGGAGCAGCUUGCAGGAGUUUUUCCAAUCGAAAGGACAGUUCUUGACUCAAGGGAACGUCAGAAAAUUAUAGAUGAGCUCUAUGACAGCCAUUUUGAUGCUUUCCUAACUGAACUUCCACCUUCCACAUUGUAUAAAUUCUGCUGCUCAAUAACUCUUCAUGACACUUAGUGGCAUUACCAUCUCCAAACCUACAUCCUGAGGGUUUACAAUGAAUAGAAAAUUAACUGGUCCAACCACAUUGAUACUAUGAGAGCAUAUCUGAAACUGUCGUGUGGGAUUCACCUCCCGACUCUGCAUACAUCUUGCAUUAUCUACAAGGCAUAACUCAGAGGGUGAUGCCUGGAUGAACGCAGCUCCUUCAACAUACAAGAAGCUCAGCACCAUUGUGGAGAAAGCAGCCUGCCUGAUUAGUAUCCCAUCUGUGACCUUACUCUUCUACCACCCAUGCAAGAUGGACUGCAGCAACUCACCGUGAUUUGUUCAGCAACAUCUCCCGAUCCUGAGACCUCCUCUAGGGCAAGUGAAUGAGAACACCACCUUCCACACAGAGCACAGGUCAUCUUGACCCUCCCAGUUCCUGGAGGAGCUGCUCCUGUAUCUUCUACCUGAUGGAAGAGGAGAGAAGAGAGAAUGACCUGGGUGGCUGGGGUCUACAGUAGAUGCUAUCUCGCUGGCUCUCCACUCUGCUCUGGACCAUCUGGACAAACUGAACAAGUACUUCAGGCUGUUGUUCAUUGACUACUGCUCAGCAUUCAACACCAUCAUUCCCUCAAAGCUUAUUAUCAAGCUCCAAGACCUGGGCCUCUGUACCUUCUUCUGCAAUUGGAUUCUUAACUUCCUCACUAGGAGACCACAAUCAGUGUGGAUCAGAAACCUCAUCUCCUCCUUGCUGAUCAUCAACACAGGCUCACCUCAAGGCUACGUGCUUAGCCCCCUGCUCUACUCUCUCUAUACCUACGACUGUGUGGCUAAGCAUAGCUCCAACACCAUCUACAAAUUCGACAAUGACGCCACUGUUGUUGGCAGAAUUACGGAUGGUGACGAGUGGCAUACAGGAGUGAGAUAGGUCAGCUGGUUGAGUGUCGUGGCAACAACCUUGUGCUCAACAUCAACAAAACCAGGGAAUUGAUUGUGGACUUUAGGAAGGGGAAGUCAGGCGGACACAUACAAGUCCUCAUUGAAGGGCCUGUGGUGGAAAGGGUGAGCAGUUUCGAGUUCCUGGGUGUCAACGUCUUGGAGGAUCUAUCGUGGGCCCAGCACACAGAUGCAGCAAUGAAGAAGGCGCGCCAGCGUCUGUACUUUAUUAGAAGUUUAAGGAGAUUCAGCAUGUCAUUAAAUACUCUGACAAACUUCUACAGAUGUACAAUGGAAAAUAUUCUGAUUGGAUGCAUCACAGCCUGGUGUGGAAACUCCAAAGCACAGGAACGCAAGGGGCUACUGAGAGUAGUGGACUCAGCCAGUUCCACCUCAGGUACAGCUCUCCCCACCAUCGAGGACAUCUACAAGAGGCGAUGUGUCAGGAAGGUGACAUCCAUCAUUGAGGACCCCCACCAUCUGGGCCAUGCCCACUUCUCGAUACUGCCAUCAGUCAGGAGCCUGAAGACCCACACCUCAAGGUCCAACCACAGCUUCUUCCCCACUGCCGUUUGGUCCUUGAACUGAACUGGAAAACCCUAACACGAUCUCAGACUAUAUUUUUUUCCUCAACUUGGACUAAUGUCAUUAUGUUUAGUUUAUUUUGUCAUGCAAGUUAUAUAUAAUUUAUUUUCAUUUAAGUCUAUGUUAACUUAUGUUUGUCAUAUUUGUAAUAUA